AUUUGAUUGACGGUGCUUGCACCUGAUUGAUUUUGGUCACCAACGAUUGGCGGACGGGUGAGUAACACGUAAGUAACCUGCCCAAAAUCGGGGGACAACAUUUGGAAACAGAUGCUAAUACCGCAUAACAACGUUGUUCGCAUGAACAACGCUUAAAAAAUGGCUUCUCGCUAUCACUUCUGGAUGGACCUGCGGUGCAUUAUCUUGUUGGUGGGGUAAUGGCCUACCUAGGCGAUGAUGCAUAGCCGAUUUGAGAGACUGAUCGGCCACAAUGGGACUGAAACACGGCCCAUACUCCUACGGGAGGCAGCAGUAGGGAAUCUUCCACAAUGGGCGCAAGCCUGAUGGAGCAACACCGCGUGAGUGAAGAAGGGUUUCGGCUCGUAAAGCUCUGUUGUUAAAGAAGAACACGUAUGAUAGUAACUGUUCAUACGUUGACGGUAUUUAACCAGAAAGUCACGGCUAACUACGUGCCAGCAGCCGCGGUAAUACGUAUGUGGCAAGCGUUAUCCGGAUUUAUUGGGCGUAAAGAGAGUGCAGGCGGUUUUCUAAGUCUGAUGUGAAAGCCUUCGGCUUAACCGGAGAAGUGCAUCGGAAACUGGAUAACAUGAGUGCACAAGAGGGUAGUGGAACUCCAUGUGUAGCGGUGGAAUGCGUAGAUAUAUGGAAGACACCAGUGGUCGAACGCGGCUACCUGGUCUGCUACUGACGCUGAGACUCGAAAGCAU
Molecule: ribosomal RNA, 728 nt
Filed under: Limosilactobacillus fermentum
Lineage: Bacteria; Bacillati; Bacillota; Bacilli; Lactobacillales; Lactobacillaceae
Description: bacterial SSU rRNA
Rfam family: Bacterial small subunit ribosomal RNA
Source: RNAcentral